RNAcentral lists this long non-coding RNA (251 nucleotides) under Lathyrus oleraceus (garden pea). RNAcentral describes it as "Pisum sativum (pea) long non-coding RNA (PSAT_LNC029472)". The record is from RNAcentral. Lineage: Eukaryota; Viridiplantae; Streptophyta; Magnoliopsida; Fabales; Fabaceae.
CUUGAUCUAUUCUUUGUAAUUAAGCUCUGCUUUACAAGCCUGGUAUUGAGUCUCGGCUAAUUGCUUAUCAUUUGCUAUCAAACUAGCAUAAGUUCCCUUGAGUGCAUCACCCACUUUUAUUCUUUUGAAUACCUCAGUUUAGACUUUGUCAUCUACUCGACGCACCCUGCCUCUCUUCUGGUUCAAGUUGAACUUCAAAGUUUCUUUCUCCAAGAAGAUCUUACAAAGUCUAGACUUGAGAUCGGCGUUCU